GUGCUUACGUUGGCAGCACAUAUACUAAAAUGGGAACAGUACAAAGAAGAUUAGUAUGGCCCCUGCACAAGGGUGUCACAUAAUUUAUGAAAUGUUCCAUAUUUUU
This is a small nuclear RNA of Acomys russatus (golden spiny mouse), 106 nucleotides long. The record is from RefSeq and is a predicted model, not a curated record. Lineage: Eukaryota; Metazoa; Chordata; Mammalia; Rodentia; Muridae.